Molecule: ribosomal RNA, 433 nt
Filed under: uncultured bacterium
Lineage: Bacteria
Description: partial 16S ribosomal RNA
Rfam family: Bacterial small subunit ribosomal RNA
Source: RNAcentral
AACGAACGCUGGCGGCAUGCCUAACACAUGCAAGUCGAACGAGACCUUCGGGUCUAGUUGCGCACGGGUGCGUAACGCGUGGGAACCUGCCUUUAGGCUCGGAAUAACACAGAGAAAUUUGAGCUAAUACCGGAUGAUGUCUUCGGACCAAGGAUUUAUCGUCUUUAGAUGGGCCGGCGUUGGUUUAGCUAGUUGGUGGGGUAAAGGCCUACCACGGCGUCGAUCCUUAGCUGGUCUGAGAGAAUGAGCAGCCACACUGGGACUGAGACACGGUCCAGAAUCCUACGCGAGGGAGCAGUGGGGAAUACAGGACAAUGGGCGAAAGCCUGAACCAGCUAUGCCGCGUGAGUGAUGAAGGCCUUAGGGUAGUAAAGCUCGUUUACCCGAGAUGAUAAUGACAGUAUCGGGAGAAUAAGCACCGGCUAACUCCGUG